UACGUAGGGCGCAAGCGUUAUCCGGAAUUAUUGGGCGUAAAGAGCUCGUAGGCGGUUUGUCGCGUCUGCCGUGAAAGUCCGGGGCUCAACUCCGGAUCUGCGGUGGGUACGGGCAGACUAGAGUGCGGUAGGGGAGACUGGAAUUCCUGGUGUAGCGGUGAAAUGCGCAGAUAUCAGGAGGAACACCGGUGGCGAAGGCGGCAUCCUGGACCGACACUGACGCUGAGGAGCGAAAGCCAGGGGAGCAAACGGG
This 253-nucleotide ribosomal RNA is filed under the name uncultured bacterium. Its description in RNAcentral is "partial 16S ribosomal RNA". It matches the Rfam family "Bacterial small subunit ribosomal RNA", at positions 524 to 776 of the family's 1533-position model. The record is from RNAcentral.